GAUGAACGCUGGCGGCGUGCUUAACACAUGCAAGUCGAACGGAGAAAGGGUAGCUUGCUAUCUUUCUUAGUGGCGGACGGGUGAGUAACGCGUGGGUAACCUGCCCUUUGCAGGGGGAUAACAGUGAGAAAUCACUGCUAAUACCGCAUACCAACUUCUUUCGCAUGAAAGAAGUUUGAAAGAUUUAUCGGCAAAGGAUGGACCCGCGUUGGAUUAGCUAGUUGGUGAGAUAACAGCCCACCAAGGCAACGAUCCAUAGCCGGCCUGAGAGGGUGAACGGCCACACUGGGACUGAGACACGGCCCAGACUCCUACGGGAGGCAGCAGUGGGGAAUAUUGCACAAUGGGCGAAAGCCUGAUGCAGCGACGCCGCGUGAAGGAUGAAGGUCUUCGGAUUGUAAACUUCUAUCAGCAGGGAAGAAAGGGCCUAUGGCCUAUGACGGUACCUGACUAAGAAGCCCCGGCUAACUACGUGCCAGCAGCCGGGUAAACAUACUCGUA
This 501-nucleotide ribosomal RNA is filed under the name uncultured bacterium. RNAcentral's name for it is "bacterial SSU rRNA". It matches the Rfam family "Bacterial small subunit ribosomal RNA", at positions 28 to 529 of the family's 1533-position model. The record is from RNAcentral.